This 253-nucleotide ribosomal RNA is filed under the name uncultured bacterium. RNAcentral describes it as "partial 16S ribosomal RNA". It matches the Rfam family "Bacterial small subunit ribosomal RNA", at positions 524 to 776 of the family's 1533-position model. The record is from RNAcentral.
UACGUAGGUGGCAAGCGUUAUCCGGAUCUACUGGGUGUAAAGGGGGCGCAGACGGCGAUGCAAGCCAGGAGUGAAAGCCCGGGGCCCAACCCCGGGACUGCUCUUGGAACUGCGUGGCUGGAGUACAGGAGGGGCAGGCGGAAUUCCUGGUGUAGCGGUGAAAUGCGUAGAUAUCAGGAGGAACACCGGUGGCGAAGGCGGCCUGCUGGACUGCAACUGACGUUGAGGCCCGAAAGCGUGGGGAGCAAACAGG